CAUUAUUCAACCUUCAGUAUCAGGAUGAGGCAACCUGUACUCUGGAAUUCAUUCAGAUGCGCUUUCUUGGAAUUAAUCCAGAGAGAGGGACAAAGGCCAAAAGGGGCAAAGUUGUCUCUAAGAAAAAGGGAGUGAUUGUCCAGAAAAAGUCCUGCACAGUCAACAUGCAUGUUGCCAUAUUACUGAAGAAUCUCCUUGACUUUGAAUGGAACUUCAUUUAGAUCAUGGCAACACUGGAAUAAUGCUGCAGAGAGGAACAGUGGCAACCAAAGUGAUGAUCAUCUCUCCUGGAUCAACAAGAACUAAGAUGUAAAAACCCAGACCUACC
Sardina pilchardus (European sardine) is the source of this 328-nucleotide long non-coding RNA. RefSeq lists it as uncharacterized. The record is from RefSeq and is a predicted model, not a curated record. The transcript has 3 exons. Lineage: Eukaryota; Metazoa; Chordata; Actinopteri; Clupeiformes; Clupeidae.